UGGCUAAUCUGAAGAGUCCCACUGGAUAGAGACUCUACUGAAGAGUCCUAUUGGAUGGGGCCUCUAGAGAAGAGUCUCAUUAGACUUGGACUCUAUCAUUAAUAGAGAAUUAUUUAGUGAUUAGAUUACUAAUUAGGUUAAUUUGAUUGAGCAUUAAAGUCUGGAUCAAGUUUGAUUGAAUUGGAUUCAAUCAGGUCAAGUCUGAUUAGGUUAUGAGAUGACCUAAUUGGUAAGAGAGAAAU
This 242-nucleotide long non-coding RNA is filed under the name Elaeis guineensis (African oil palm). RNAcentral describes it as "long non-coding RNA (EGUI_LNC070079)". Lineage: Eukaryota; Viridiplantae; Streptophyta; Magnoliopsida; Arecales; Arecaceae. The record is from RNAcentral.